UUCUACAUGGUCAGCAGAUGCUUUUCAGUCCCUUCAGACCGAAUGAGCAAAUCGUUGUGUUUGCACGAGUCUAACUAAUAGAAACAUCACGCUAAUAUUCACCUCAGCUCGACAGCGACCCGCCGUUUCAGCCUCAAUGAGGCCAUUUCACAUUCAGACACUCAGCAUAAUGAAAGGCAAUAUCUAGGAAAUCCAAUUUUAUAUCAAUUGCAGCCUUUAGAUGCAGAAUAAUAAGUAAAAAUCUAAAGGGAAAUUACGAGGCGAGGCUAUUAUAAUGCAGACAACCUCCUAGAAAGACAACUGUUUGUGUUUUUAAAGCAGUGAUAUUUCUCAAUCAGGUUUGAUUUGGUUCGUUGUUCAUGAGUUUUCUAGCAGCUUUUCUAUCAGAAUCUACUUGUAAAGCCUCGCAAGGCCACGUCAACACAAUUUCCUAAACGCAUUCAGAAUGAAAAACAUGCAUAUGAGCAUUCAAGCCGGACAAACCAAUUCAUGAAGUUCUUAAGCUCGUCCUUAAAUCCAGACUGCAGUAAAUCCCAUAUUGCAGCUCAACUGCAAACGUCGGCCUGUGUUUUCUGCUUCGUUCCGCUGCAUUUCCAUCCGCUCAUUCAUGUCUCAUCCAGGCAGUCAAAGGAUCCAUUGAUGGCUCCAUCGCUCCUCUGUGGGCUCCUGCUGCGGGUCGAGUCCCGGCGGGUGUGAAGCUUCAUCCCACAUCUGACCGCUGGACGAAGGAUCAGUCAUUCCUCAGGUGACAGAUCGACGAGUGUUACAGAGGACAGCGGGUCAGAGGUCAUCUGCUCAUGUGAUUUGAAUGACAGGAGUGCUGUGUAUAGAUAAAAGGCUGUACUUAGAGCAGCGCUGUUUAGUGACUGGGAGAAUCAGGCUGUUUAAGGCCAUGUCUGAUGCUAAAACAUGUAGAAAGGAGUGUGGAAAAGAAGUGGCCAUCUAGAUGACAGGCGACUGGUCAGGAACAGCCUAAAGAACAAAGAAAGUCAUACAAGUUCGUAACGACAUGAAGGAAUGAAACUGAAGUCUGCUGAGUUAUGAAAGAGCAACUUCUGAAGAACCAAAUAUUCCUCUGGAAAACCUCUGAAGCUUCAGACAUGUUUUCCAGGUGGAUAUUCCUGGUGUAAGUUCAAACGUCUGCUUACAUGAGGCUGUCAGCUUUCUGAUGUCUCUCUGUGUGUGUCGCUCGUGUAUUAUCCUGAAACAAAGUGAAUCGAUAUUUCAUCAGUUUUUCUGCUGCUUUGAGGUUAACAGAAACCUCUUGGACUUGAACCCUCAGGAAAGCGCUGACAACCGGACGUUUAAUCUGGUUCUGUCUGCUGUGUCCAAAUGAACUAGAAAUAUGUAGAACAGCAUCAGAAUCGCAUACUACUAUACUACUCUUACUAAUAAGUAUGCACACUCAAGAAGGCAGAGAUGCAGGACUGUGCUAAUGAAGGUUUGUUCCUGCGUGUGAAGGUUUGGUUCAGGAGUCUCCCGUCGGUUCACGUUCUUCAGCCAGCGAGUUAAUUACCAUCACUGGAAAGACAGCCAGACAACUGUCAACACAUGACUCUGCAGCGUGGAAUUAUGGGAGUGUUGAGCUCUGUUCCAAAACACAAUGAGCUGUCUACCUAGACGACGAUUUUACGC
Molecule: long non-coding RNA, 1635 nt
Organism: Cyprinus carpio carpio
Lineage: Eukaryota; Metazoa; Chordata; Actinopteri; Cypriniformes; Cyprinidae
Source: Ensembl